Tripterygium wilfordii is the source of this 651-nucleotide long non-coding RNA. RefSeq lists it as uncharacterized. NCBI's taxonomy places the organism in Eukaryota, Viridiplantae, Streptophyta, Magnoliopsida, Celastrales, Celastraceae. The transcript has 2 exons. The record is from RefSeq and is a predicted model, not a curated record.
CAGCUCGGCAGUUCUGGAUAGUACUGGGAUCCUAUCAUUUACUGUUUUUCCAAACACUCUAUUACCCUUUGUGUAUCUUAGUUUGCAAGAAAAAUUAUCUUCCGUCUCUUGUCUCUGGCCCCAAGAAAUUCUUCUGCUCAAUUAUUAUAUGGUUUGAAAAAGUUACUUCAGUAUAGGACAAGCGAUCAAACAAGGGAUCUGACCGAAGACAAUUUGCUUGUCAUGUUGUUGUGCGUGUAUCUGUGGGUUAGGCCGCUGGUGUUGAGUAACUUGGAUUAAUGGCUGCUUUAAAGGAUGACCCAGUUCUUGGAAUUGAUGGUAGACUAAAGGAAGAGGGACUAGACAAGGCAGGUUUGGUAAGAGAGGAAGCUUGUGAGAGAGAUAUGGUUCCUCCUGCAGGCAAUUCCAUUCAAUGGUCUGCUUCCAGGCCACAGCUUGACAUGAGCAAGGCUGCAAUUCAAGGGAAUUCCGAGUAGAAGAGAGGGAUCCUACAAUUCUGUUGCCUAAUAAAUCUGAUGAUAUCUCCCCAUUUGGCUCUUGAUAUUGGAGGUAUAUAUACAAUUCUUCAUCCACAGUUGGUUCUCGCUCUCUGGUGGUUCACUUGUGACUGUGGUUGCUUUUAUGGAUGGAAAUUAACUUCUCUUCUUUCCA